Molecule: ribosomal RNA, 474 nt
Filed under: uncultured bacterium
Lineage: Bacteria
Description: bacterial SSU rRNA
Rfam family: Bacterial small subunit ribosomal RNA
Source: RNAcentral
AUUGAACGCUGGCGGCAUGCUUUACACAUGCAAGUCGAACGGUAACAGGCCGCAAGGUGCUGACGAGUGGCGAACGGGUGAGUAAUGCAUCGGAACGUGCCCAGUCGUGGGGGAUAACGCAGCGAAAGCUGCGCUAAUACCGCAUACGAUCUAUGGAUGAAAGCGGGGGACCGUAAGGCCUCGCGCGAUUGGAGCGGCCGAUGUCAGAUUAGGUAGUUGGUGGGGUAAAGGCUCACCAAGCCAACGAUCUGUAGCUGGUCUGAGAGGACGACCAGCCACACUGGGACUGAGACACGGCCCAGACUCCUACGGGAGGCAGCAGUGGGGAAUAUUGGACAAUGGGGGCAACCCUGAUCCAGCAAUGCCGCGUGAGUGAUGAAGGCCUUAGGGUUGUAAAGCUCUUUUGCCAGGGAAGAUGAUGACUGUACCUGGAGAAUAAGCCCCGGCUAACUUCGUGCCAGCAGCCGCGGUAAU